RNAcentral lists this long non-coding RNA (505 nucleotides) under Ananas comosus (pineapple). RNAcentral describes it as "long non-coding RNA (ACOM_LNC023156)". Lineage: Eukaryota; Viridiplantae; Streptophyta; Magnoliopsida; Poales; Bromeliaceae. The record is from RNAcentral.
UAUUAUUAUUAUUUAUAUUAUGUUGAAAUAAAAAUAAAGUAUCUAUUAUUUUUUUAAGAUAAGUGAAUUUGAUGGUAGAUAUAUAUUCAGAAUUUUAAGUUCAAUACUUAGUUACUUUUAAUGUCAAAUAACUGUAAAAAUAGGGAUGCAAAUGCAUCCGGAUUGGUGGAGCUUCCGUUCCGAUCCGCCUCAAAUGGGGCGGUAAGUGGGAACAAAAAAUAUAGAAAUAUAUAAUCCGCUCUGAAUUCGUCCCGAUCCGCCAAGUAAAUAGAACGGGAGGUGGGAUAUCUUUUUCUUCCUUCAAUCCGCUCCCGAUCUGUCAAAAAUUCGUCAAAAUUCGUUCUCGUCCCGAUCCUCCCCGAAUGGGACGGUAAGUGGAAGUUAAAAAUAAAAUAAAAAAUAAUUCAUCCCAAAUCCGUCUCGUCUCGACAAGAAAUAGAGUGGGAUGUGGUGGAACCCUUUCUCUCUAAGAUCCGUCCUGUUUGUAUUCCUAUGUAAAAACAAA